UUUUAAGUUGAGUUCAGUUCAGGGCAGCUUCCCUGUUCUGUUCAUUAAACCUUGGGACAUUUACACAGGCUUGGGGAAAUGACUGGGUAGGAAAUAUUAUUCUAUUCACUUUGGUCUUAGCCUAUAUUU
Small nucleolar RNA from Echinops telfairi (small Madagascar hedgehog), 129 nucleotides. Lineage: Eukaryota; Metazoa; Chordata; Mammalia; Afrosoricida; Tenrecidae. The record is from RefSeq and is a predicted model, not a curated record.